Molecule: ribosomal RNA, 193 nt
Filed under: uncultured bacterium
Lineage: Bacteria
Description: partial 16S ribosomal RNA
Rfam family: Bacterial small subunit ribosomal RNA
Source: RNAcentral
ACGCUCGACACCUACGGAGGCAGCAGUCGGGAAUAUUGCGCAAUGGAGGAAACUCUGACGCAGUGACGCCGCGUAUAGGAAGAAGGUUUUCGGAUUGUAAACUAUUGUCGUUAGGGAAGAAAAAAGACAGUACCUAAGGAGGAAGCUCCGGCUAACUACGUCGCANCACGCCGAGUAUNGNGGCGNGNGAGAG